UACAUAGGUGGCAAGCGUUAUCCGGAUUUAUUGGGCGUAAAGAGAACGCAGGCGGUCUUUUAAGUCUGAUGUGAAAGCCUUCGGCUUAACCGGAGUAGUGCAUUGGAAACUGGAAGACUUGAGUGCAGAAGAGGAGAGUGGAACUCCAUGUGUAGCGGUGAAAUGCGUAGAUAUAUGGAAGAACACCAGUGGCGAAAGCGGCUCUCUGGUCUGUAACUGACGCUGAGGUUCGAAAGCGUGGGUAGCAAACAGG
Molecule: ribosomal RNA, 253 nt
Filed under: uncultured bacterium
Lineage: Bacteria
Description: partial 16S ribosomal RNA
Rfam family: Bacterial small subunit ribosomal RNA
Source: RNAcentral